GUCACACUAUCAUUAACUGAAUCCAUAGGUUAAUGAGGCGAACCGGGGGAACUGAAACAUCUAAGUACCCCGAGGAAAAGAAAUCAACCGAGAUUCCCCCAGUAGCGGCGAGCGAACGGGGAGGAGCCCAGAGCCUGAAUCAGCAUGUGUGUUAGUGGAAGCGUCUGGAAAGGCGCGCGAUACAGGGUGACAGCCCCGUACACAAAAGCGCAUGUGCUGUGAGCUCGAUGAGUAGGGCGGGACACGUGGUAUCCUGUCUGAAUAUGGGGGGACCAUCCUCCAAGGCUAAAUACUCCUGACUGACCGAUAGUGAACCAGUACCGUGAGGGAAAGGCGAAAAGAACCCCGGCGAGGGGAGUGAAAAAGAACCUGAAACCGUGUACGUACAAGCAGUGGGAGCACAGGUUUACCUGUGUGACUGCGUACCUUUUGUAUAAUGGGUCAGCGACUUAUAUUCUGUAGCAAGGUUAACCGUAUAGGGGAGCCGUAGGGAAACCGAGUCUUAACCGGGCGUUAAGUUGCAGGGUAUAGACCCGAAACCCGGUGAUCUAGCCAUGGGCAGGUUGAAGGUUGGGUAACACUAACUGGAGGACCGAACCGACUAAUGUUGAAAAAUUAGCGGAUGACCUGUGGCUGGGGGUGAAAGGCCAAUCAAACCGGGAGAUAGCUGGUUCUCCCCGAAAGCUAUUUAGGUAGCGCCUCGUGAAUUCAUCUCCGGGGGUAGAGCACUGUUUCGGCUAGGGGGCCAUCCCGGCUUACCAACCCGAUGCAAACUGCGAAUACCGGAGAAUGUUAUCACGGGAGACACACGGCGGGUGCUAACGUCCGUCGUGAAGAGGGAAACAACCCAGACCGCCAGCUAAGGUCCCAAAGUCAUGGUUAAGUGGGAAACGAUGUGGGAAGGCCCAGACAGCCAGGAUGUUGGCUUAGAAGCAGCCAUCAUUUAAAGAAAGCGUAAUAGCUCACUGGUCGAGUCGGCCUGCGCGGAAGAUGUAACGGGGCUAAACCAUGCACCGAAGCUGCGGCAGCGACGCUUAUGCGUUGUUGGGUAGGGGAGCGUUCUGUAAGCCUGUGAAGGUGUGUCGUGAGGCAUGCUGGAGGUAUCAGAAGUGCGAAUGCUGACAUAAGUAACGAUAAAGCGGGUGAAAAGCCCGCUCGCCGGAAGACCAAGGGUUCCUGUCCAACGUUAAUCGGGGCAGGGUGAGUCGACCCCUAAGGCGAGGCCGAAAGGCGUAGUCGAUGGGAAACGGGUUAAUAUUCCCGUACUUGGUGUUACUGCGAAGGGGGGACGGAGAAGGCUAUGU
RNAcentral lists this ribosomal RNA (1304 nucleotides) under Salmonella enterica subsp. enterica serovar Paratyphi B var. L(+) tartrate +. RNAcentral's name for it is "partial 23S ribosomal RNA". It matches the Rfam family "Bacterial large subunit ribosomal RNA", at positions 142 to 1487 of the family's 2925-position model. Lineage: Bacteria; Pseudomonadati; Pseudomonadota; Gammaproteobacteria; Enterobacterales; Enterobacteriaceae. The record is from RNAcentral.